ACUUAAUAAGUAUAUUAUUAUUAGCUUGAAGUAAAAAUAAAUUUUAUUUUAAUAAUAGUUUAUUAGAUUGGGGCGAUUAAGAUAUAUAAAUUAUAAACUGUUUUUUAGUCUGAAUAAUUAUAAUUAAAUAUUGAUCCUAUAUUAAAGAUUAAAAGUUAAAGUU
RNAcentral lists this ribosomal RNA (163 nucleotides) under Latreutes porcinus. RNAcentral describes it as "partial 16S rRNA". The record is from RNAcentral. Lineage: Eukaryota; Metazoa; Arthropoda; Malacostraca; Decapoda; Hippolytidae.